Molecule: ribosomal RNA, 254 nt
Filed under: uncultured bacterium
Lineage: Bacteria
Description: partial 16S ribosomal RNA
Rfam family: Bacterial small subunit ribosomal RNA
Source: RNAcentral
UACGGAGGGUGCGAGCGUUGUCCGGAAUCAUUGGGCGUAAAGGGCGCGUAGGUGGCCCGGUCAGUCUUUGGUGAAAGCGCGGGGCUCAACCCUGCGUCGGCCAGGGAUACUGCCGCGGCUCGAGCACUGUAGAGGCAGGCGGAAUUCCGGGUGUAGCGGUGGAAUGCGUAGAGAUCGGGAAGAACAUCAGUGGCGAAGGCGGCCUGCUGGGCUGUUGCUGACGCUGAGGCGCGACAGCGUGGGGAGCAAACAGG